AUUGAACGCUGGCGGCAUGCUUUACACAUGCAAGUCGAACGGCAGCGCGGGCUUCGGCCUGGCGGCGAGUGGCGAACGGGUGAGUAAUGCAUCGGAACGUGCCCAGUAGUGGGGGAUAGCCCAGCGAAAGCCGGAUUAAUACCGCAUACGACCUGAGGGUGAAAGCGGGGGACCGAAAGGCCUCGCGCUAUCGGAGCGGCCGAUGUCGGAUUAGCUAGUUGGUGGGGUAAAGGCUUACCAAGGCGACGAUCCGUAGCUGGUCUGAGAGGACGACCAGCCACACUGGGACUGAGACACGGCCCAGACUCCUACGGGAGGCAGCAGUGGGGAAUUUUGGACAAUGGGGGCAACCCUGAUCCAGCCAUGCCGCGUGCGGGAAGAAGGCCUUCGGGUUGUAAACCGCUUUUGUUCGGGAAGAAAUCCUCUGGGCUAAUACCCCGGGGGGAUGACGGUACCGGAAGAAUAAGCACCGGCUAACUACGUGC
This 485-nucleotide ribosomal RNA is filed under the name uncultured bacterium. RNAcentral's name for it is "partial 16S ribosomal RNA". It matches the Rfam family "Bacterial small subunit ribosomal RNA", at positions 29 to 508 of the family's 1533-position model. The record is from RNAcentral.